Molecule: long non-coding RNA, 816 nt
Organism: Pleuronectes platessa (European plaice)
Lineage: Eukaryota; Metazoa; Chordata; Actinopteri; Pleuronectiformes; Pleuronectidae
Exons: 5
Source: RefSeq, a predicted model, not a curated record
UAAAAACCCUAUUUGUAAACAACCAGUCCUUUAACUCAGCGCUGCGUCAUAAACACGGAGCGCUUGGAAGACCACGAUGUCAUCUUCCUUCUGUCAGGAGGAUCAAAGUGAAGCUACAGGAGUUUCAUUAACGUCAACAACUUGGACCGAACAGUUUGUUUUGCUUGAUGAAGAGCAGGAAGGGCAGCCUGGAGAGAAAGAGAAGCCGGGUUGAGCCCACUACCAUCAUCCACGUACCACGAGGAAGAUGAGGGAGAGAAAUGAUCCUACCAUUAAAGAGACUGUGAAAAGAACGUUGAGAACAUCACCACUCUACAGGAAGACACAGUCCAGUAAUUGGUGUCAGAAGUUCAGUAGUGAACGACAGGCAGUACUGAUGCAUUUACUGAGAGGGGACGUGAGGGCCUACUCUGCGUGCUCAGAGUUCAAACCCAGCAGGCUGCAGCGGGCCUGACAUAUUCUGGAACAGCAGCACAGUCUUUAGAUGACUCCUCUGAAGAUGAAAACAUGGCGAGUUCUUCUCAAGAGAAGCAGUACAGGUGUGCCUCAGCUCCACGGUCCCUCCUGCAGCCUCCGCUCCUGAUGCUAACCUCAUGUCUCCAUCACACCAAGCAGCAGACCUGGAUUGACAGACCUUUCUCCAGAGCUGCCCCCUCCCUCUGAAACCCCCCUCUCCAAAACACUAUUUGUGUAGUUUUUAAAGUAUUUUUUGCAUGAGAAUUGUUGAUCAUAUCAUUUCCAGCAGAUGCCUUAAUAUAAUGUUUGUGCACAAUAAAUGACAUUGAUCAUAACAUAAUGGUAUUUCCUUGCACUUCU